RNAcentral lists this transfer RNA (85 nucleotides) under Hyphobacterium vulgare. Its description in RNAcentral is "tRNA-Tyr". It matches the Rfam family "tRNA". Rfam says of the family: Transfer RNA (tRNA) molecules are approximately 80 nucleotides in length. Their secondary structure includes four short double-helical elements and three loops (D, anti-codon, and T loops). The record is from RNAcentral. Lineage: Bacteria; Pseudomonadati; Pseudomonadota; Alphaproteobacteria; Maricaulales; Maricaulaceae. RNAcentral also lists the same sequence under 3 other names.
GGAGGGGUGGGAGAGUGGUUAAAUCCACCAGACUGUAAAUCUGGCGCCUCAGGCUACGCUGGUUCGAAUCCAGCCCCCUCCACCA